GACGAACGCUGGCGGCGUGCUUAACACAUGCAAGUCGAACGGAAAGGCCCUGCUUGCAGGGUACUCGAGUGGCGAACGGGUGAGUAACACGUGGGUGAUCUGCCCUGCACUUCGGGAUAAGCUUGGGAAACUGGGUCUAAUACCGGAUAGGAGCCAUCUUUAGUGUGGUGGUUGGAAAGUUUUUUCGGUGUAGGAUGAGCUCGCGGCCUAUCAGCUUGUUGGUGGGGUAAUGGCCUACCAAGGCGGCGACGGGUAGCCGGCCUGAGAGGGUGUACGGCCACAUUGGGACUGAGAUACGGCCCAGACUCCUACGGGAGGCAGCAGUGGGGAAUAUUGCACAAUGGGCGCAAGCCUGACGCAGCGACGCCGCGUGGGGGAUGAAGGCCUUCGGGUUGUAAACUCCUUUCGCUAGGGACGAAGCUUUUUUGUGACGGUACCUAGAUAAGAAGCACCGGCUAACUACGUG
Molecule: ribosomal RNA, 466 nt
Filed under: uncultured bacterium
Lineage: Bacteria
Description: partial 16S ribosomal RNA
Rfam family: Bacterial small subunit ribosomal RNA
Source: RNAcentral